Molecule: non-coding RNA, 2121 nt
Organism: Coturnix japonica (Japanese quail)
Lineage: Eukaryota; Metazoa; Chordata; Aves; Galliformes; Phasianidae
Source: RefSeq, a predicted model, not a curated record
UUGUGAAGUAAUUAGAAUAGUACAAGUUUCUUAGCAGCUUUUUUGUUUUAAUUGAUGUUUAAAGCAAUUACAACACUGCUUUGCUGUAGCCCUAUAGACUGUGCUAGCAUGAUGUAAUGUAUGUUCCUCCAAUAGGCAAGUUGCUGUAGCUAAUUUUCUCUGGUGUUUUGCUUUGGCACCAACAGCAUCCCUCAUUAGUUUCUUUAUUAGUACAUUUAAAUACCUUCUUAGCACCAUUAAGUUGGAAAUGGCUUUAUUUUUCGUUCAGCAGUAUUUGUAUUCAACAUAUUUUCUCAGCGCUCCCUACAAGAUUCCUUACAACAGAUGUUAUGACGCACUUGGAGGAACGUGAACCAAAUUGUAGGCAAAGUUUCCCUGACUCUUCUUCAGCAGCUCAUGCCAUUGAUGUGGCAUUAAAGCAUGCAACAGCUCUGCUUGUUGUGCUGAUGGCAGGUGCCUCACGAACUCAGAUUCUCCCAGGAGUAAGCAGGACACAGGGCGCUGCAGUGAGAAGAUGAAGAGUCAAAAUGGUUCUUGAGGGGUCCAACAAGGAGCUCCCACUGCAACAGCUGGGUAAGAAACCUUUCUUCUUCUCAGAUGCUGGGCACAAAGAUAAGUGGAGCCAAGCUGGUGGUGGUUCUGCUGUGGGGCUGGAAAGCAGAUGUGCAGAAGGGUGAAGGUAAUGCCUUAACUUAAAGGAGUCAUUGUGUGCUCUGAAUGUGGCCCAGACCAAUAAUUGUCCUGCUUGCUGUUGUGAGACCAAGUAUGCUAAAUGUGUCUCAGUUACGCUUGUCAGAUGGUGUGUGGUUCGAUAUGGUAGAUCAUAGAAGGGGGUGGAUGGUGCCAAUAAAAUAGUAUUUGCUGCAUGAGGUAGCAACAUUGACUUGGACGUAUGGAUCAGAUUUAAUACUCAGUCUUUCAUUUUACUCCUCCCAUGGCAGUAUUGCUUCUAACCAUAAUUUAUUGUUGCUUUGGCCACUAUGAAAAGGUGUUAAAUGAGGCAGUUUUUUCUUAGUUGCACAAAAAAUAUCUGACUCUCAUAGAUAUGAAUGAAUUGAAUGUGGGUCUUUUAAAUCAUAAUACAGGAAAUAAGAGUCUUAUAUGUAUGUAUAUAUAUAAGCAAACAUAAUUAAAAUAUUUGAAGCAGAAUUUUUACUUUCUGCACAUCACUGAUGGGUACAAAAGAUCUACUGAGAGGUACCUGCUUGCUGAAAUUCAUCACUGAAAAAGCACACCAAUCUAUUUGCUUUUUAGUGUCUAGUUUUUAUAACAACUUAGAGAAUAUAUAAUUACAGUUUUAUAGAGAAACUCUAGAAUUAAUGUAUUGAGAAAAAAGACUAUAUAUUACAAUUAUAUAAAGCUCUUUCUCCAGUACAGAGCUGACUGUCACACUUUCCCUGCAGCCAGAGUGACAAUGAUCCAAAGCAUGAAUAAACCUAAAUGUGUUUGCUUCAAGCAAAGUGUUAUGACCCGGUUUAGCUAUAUCCUGGAGACUAGUUUGACUGGCAAGCAUGGUCAGAGUUUUUAGGGCUGGUGCCUCAAUGCUGAAGGCCAUCCAUGAUAUCUGAUGCUGUAUUCACUUGGUCAGGGCUAAUAAAUUCUCCAAUGGAUGAUUACUUUCAAACAAUAUAGCCACUGAAUGUAAAUCAUUGAUAGGCUUUACCUUACAUCAUUGAAGACAGUUUUUGCAUUGCACUGAAAAAUUAAUAAAAAACAAAACAAAACAAAACAAAAAACAGAUCAGCUAAUACAAAUGUUUAUCAAAGGAAAAAAAAUGUGUAAUUGGAACCGUAGAUACUCAGUCUAUAUGUGGAUGCUGAGCUCAAUUAGAAUGCUCUUGCUGACAAUUUGUUGUUAUUCUGGUAUUUGAUUUUGCAGUGCAAUUGAUGUAUUUUUUGUUCCUAGAAAGAAAAAUUUGUAGACACAUGCUUUGGUGAAUCAUUUUAUGAAUUAAGUUUGCAAACCACAAGUAGCUGUUGCACAGCCUAGCAUUAAAGUAUGUGCUUUCUGUUGCAAAGUAGGCAGUCUCUUCAAGAGGGUGAUUUUUCUUCCUGCUGUGUAUUUGGAAGUGUGGAACCUGGGACUCAGACUUCAUGGACACAUGGAAACAAGAGAAGAGUG